This 312-nucleotide ribosomal RNA is filed under the name Triticum aestivum (bread wheat). RNAcentral describes it as "partial small subunit ribosomal RNA". The record is from RNAcentral. Lineage: Eukaryota; Viridiplantae; Streptophyta; Magnoliopsida; Poales; Poaceae.
AUGUCGGAGUUCAGAAUGAUGUAUGUGAUCUUUGUGCUGUUUUUGGGGUGCAUUUCCACAUGGGGAUGUGAUCUCACUUCAUCUUCCUCUGCGUGUGGUGGACGCCAUGGCGAGCUCGCCGGAUCCCUACACAAAAAUGUAGCAGUUCAAAAGAAAUUAGGAUACAAGUUCAAGGGCCAUGGUGAGUUAGAAUUUUGUGUUAGGUUUCUGUUCAUUUUCAACCUAGCGUGCCUUCUUGCCACAUCUAACAGAAGAUUCCAAUUUUCUGAACAUGUAGCAUUUGUUUCCUGGGAGGUUGUCAGAUUUCAUUAA